Molecule: transfer RNA, 71 nt
Filed under: Loxodonta africana (African savanna elephant)
Lineage: Eukaryota; Metazoa; Chordata; Mammalia; Proboscidea; Elephantidae
Rfam family: tRNA
About the family: Transfer RNA (tRNA) molecules are approximately 80 nucleotides in length.
Source: Rfam by way of RNAcentral
GCAUCGGUGGUUUAGUGGUAAAAUGCUUGCUUUCCAUGUGGGAGGCCUGGAUUCAGUCCCCAGUCACUGCA